Molecule: ribosomal RNA, 253 nt
Filed under: uncultured bacterium
Lineage: Bacteria
Description: partial 16S ribosomal RNA
Rfam family: Bacterial small subunit ribosomal RNA
Source: RNAcentral
UACGUAGGGUGCAAGCGUUAAUCGGAAUUACUGGGCGUAAAGCGUGCGCAGGCGGUGAUGUAAGACAGGUGUGAAAUCCCCGGGCUUAACCUGGGAACUGCAUUUGUGACUGCAUCGCUGGAGUGCGGCAGAGGGGGGUGGAAUUCCUGGUGUAGCAGUGAAAUGCGUAGAGAUCAGGAGGAACACCGAUGGCGAAGGCAGCCCCCUGGGCCGACACUGACGCUCAUGCACGAAAGCGUGGGGAGCAAACAGG